RNAcentral lists this ribosomal RNA (800 nucleotides) under Escherichia coli. Its description in RNAcentral is "partial 23S ribosomal RNA". It matches the Rfam family "Bacterial large subunit ribosomal RNA", at positions 2131 to 2925 of the family's 2925-position model. The record is from RNAcentral. Lineage: Bacteria; Pseudomonadati; Pseudomonadota; Gammaproteobacteria; Enterobacterales; Enterobacteriaceae.
UUGAUGUGUAGGAUAGGUGGGAGGCUUGGAAGUGUGGACGCCAGUCUGCAUGGAGCCGACCUUGAAAUACCACCCUUUAAUGUUUGAUGUUCUAACGUUGACCCGUAAUCCGGGUUGCGGACAGUGUCUGGUGGGUAGUUUGACUGGGGCGGUCUCCUCCUAAAGAGUAACGGAGGAGCACGAAGGUUGGCUAAUCCUGGUCGGACAUCAGGAGGUUAGUGCAAUGGCAUAAGCCAGCUUGACUGCGAGCGUGACGGCGCGAGCAGGUGCGAAAGCAGGUCAUAGUGAUCCGGUGGUUCUGAAUGGAAGGGCCAUCGCUCAACGGAUAAAAGGUACUCCGGGGAUAACAGGCUGAUACCGCCCAAGAGUUCAUAUCGACGGCGGUGUUUGGCACCUCGAUGUCGGCUCAUCACAUCCUGGGGCUGAAGUAGGUCCCAAGGGUAUGGCUGUUCGCCAUUUAAAGUGGUACGCGAGCUGGGUUUAGAACGUCGUGAGACAGUUCGGUCCCUAUCUGCCGUGGGCGCUGGAGAACUGAGGGGGGCUGCUCCUAGUACGAGAGGACCGGAGUGGACGCAUCACUGGUGUUCGGGUUGUCAUGCCAAUGGCACUGCCCGGUAGCUAAAUGCGGAAGAGAUAAGUGCUGAAAGCAUCUAAGCACGAAACUUGCCCCGAGAUGAGUUCUCCCUGACUCCUUGAGAGUCCUGAAGGAACGUUGAAGACGACGACGUUGAUAGGCCGGGUGUGUAAGCGCAGCGAUGCGUUGAGCUAACCGGUACUAAUGAACCGUGAGGCUUAACCUU